UACGUAGGGGGCAAGCGUUGUCCGGAUUUAUUGGGCGUAAAGCGCUCGCAGGUGGUUCAUUGCGUCGUGCGUGAAAGACCCCGGCUCAACUGGGGAGGGUCGUGCGAAACGGGUGAACUAGAGACCAGGAGAGGUGAGUGGAAUUCCCAGUGUAGCGGUGAAAUGCGUAGAUAUUGGGAGGAACACCAGUGGCGAAGGCGGCUCACUGGACUGGUACUGACGCUGAUGCGCGAAAGCGUGGGGAGCAAACAGG
This 253-nucleotide ribosomal RNA is filed under the name uncultured bacterium. RNAcentral's name for it is "partial 16S ribosomal RNA". It matches the Rfam family "Bacterial small subunit ribosomal RNA", at positions 524 to 776 of the family's 1533-position model. The record is from RNAcentral.